RNAcentral lists this ribosomal RNA (937 nucleotides) under uncultured bacterium (human infant) N3J. RNAcentral describes it as "bacterial SSU rRNA". It matches the Rfam family "Bacterial small subunit ribosomal RNA", at positions 1 to 919 of the family's 1533-position model. The record is from RNAcentral.
GCGGGAUUGACGGAUCCAGAGUUUGAUCAUGGCUCAGGAUGAACGCYAGCKACAGGCUUAACACAUGCCAGUCGAGGGGCAGCAUGGUCUUAGCUUGCUAAGGCCGACGGCGACCGGCGCACGGGUGAGUGACACGUAUCCAACCUGCCGUCUACUCUUGGACAGCCUUCUGAHAGGVAGAUUAAUACAAGAUGGCAUCAUGAGUUCACAUGUUCACAUGAUUAAMGGUAUUCCGGUAGACGAUGGGGAUGCGUUCCAUUAGAUAGUAGGCGGGGUAACGGCCCACCUAGUCUUCGAUGGAUAGGGGUUCUGAGAGGAAGGUCCCCCACAUUGGAACUGAGACACGGUCCAAACUCCUACGGGAGGCAGCAGUGAGGAAUAUUGGUCAAUGGGCGAGAGCCUGAACCAGCCAAGUAGCGUGAAGGAUGACYGCCCUAUGGGUUGUAAACUUCUUUUAUAAAGGAAUAAAGUCGGGUAUGGAUACCCGUUUGCMUGUACUUUAUGAAUAAGGAUCGGCUAACUCCGUGCCAGCAGCCGCGGUAAUACGGAGGAUCCGAGCGUUAUCCGGAUUUAUUGGGUUUAAAGGGAGCGUAGAUGGAUGUUUAAGUCAGUUGUGAAAGUUUGCGGCUCAACCGUAAAAUUGCAGUUGAUACYGGAUAUCUUGAGUGCAGUUGAGGCAGGCGGNAUUCGUGGUGUAGCGGUGAAAUGCUUAGAUAUCACGAAGAACUCCGAUUGCGAAGGCAGCCUGCUAAGCUGCAACUGACAUUGAGGCUCGAAAGUGUGGGUAUCAAACAGGAUUAGAUACCCUGGUAGUCCACACGGUAAACGAUGAAUACUCGCUGUUUGCGAUAUACUGCAAGCGGCCAAGCGAAAACKUCAAAGUAUUCCACCYGGGGAGUACGCAGGCAACGGUGAAACUCAAARGAAUUGACGGGGG